Molecule: ribosomal RNA, 419 nt
Filed under: uncultured Oscillatoria sp.
Lineage: Bacteria; Bacillati; Cyanobacteriota; Cyanophyceae; Oscillatoriales; Oscillatoriaceae
Description: bacterial SSU rRNA
Rfam family: Bacterial small subunit ribosomal RNA
Source: RNAcentral
GCAAGACCGCGUGAGGGAGGAAGGCUCUUGGGUUGUAAACCUCUUUUGUCAGGGAAGAAGAAAGUGACGGUACCUGAAGAAUCAGCAUCGGCUAACUCCGUGCCAGCAGCCGCGGUAAUACGGAGGAUGCAAGCGUUAUCCGGAAUUAUUGGGCGUAAAGCGUCCGCAGGUGGUCAAUCAAGUCUGCUGUCAAAGCACGUGGCUUAACCACGAAAAGGCAGUGGAAACUGAAGGACUAGAGUGCUCAAGGGGUAGAGGGAAUUCUCGGUGUAGCGGUGAAAUGCGUAGAGAUCGGGAAGAACAUCGGUGGCGAAAGCGCUCUACUGGAGAGCAACUGACACUCAGGGACGAAAGCUAGGGGAGCGAAUGGGAUUAGAUACCCCAGUAGUCCUAGCCGUAAACGAUGGAUACUAGGUGUG